CGUGAUGUGGAGCGAAAUAAAGUAGUGAAGCGUGUGAGCCAUGUGCCGAGAAAAGCUGCUAUUGUGUAAUGCGUGCCCGUACCGUAAACCGACACAGGUGGAUGAGGAGAGAAUCCUAAGGCCGACGGAAGAAGCAUUGUUAAGGAAUUCGGCAAAAUGACCCCGUAACUUAGGGAGAAGGGGUGCCUGCGAGAGCAGGCCGCAGAGAAUAGGCUCAAGCAACUGUUUAGCAAAAACACAGGUCUAUGCGAAACCGAAAGGUGAAGUAUAUGGGCUGACGCCUGCCCGGUGCUGGAAGGUUAAGAGGAGAGGUUAGCGAAAGCGAAGCUUUGAAUUUAAGCCCCAGUAAACGGCGGCCGUAACUAUAACGGUCCUAAGGUAGCGAAAUUCCUUGUCGGGUAAGUUCCGACCCGCACGAAAGGCGUAAUGAUUUGAGCACUGUCUCGACAAUGCAUCCGGUGAAAUUGAAGUACCAGUGAAGAUGCUGGUUACCCGCGCCAGGACGGAAAGACCCCAUGGAGCUUUACUCCAGUUUGAUACUGGGAUUCGGUACUGCAUGUACAGGAUAGGUGGGAGACGGAGAAGGAUGGACGCCAGUCUGUCCGGAGUCGCUGUUGGGAUACCACCCCUGUAGUACUGGGUUUCUAACCAGUUACCAUGAUCUGGUAAUGGGACAAUGUCAGGCGGGGAGUUUGACUGGGGCGGUCGCCUCCGAAAGGGUAUCGGAGGCGCUCAAAGGUUCCCUCAGAAUGGUUGGAAACCAUUUGAAGAGUGCAAAGGCAGAAGGGAGCUUGACUGCGACACCGACGGGUGGAGCAGGUACGAAAGUAGGACUUAGUGAUCCGGUGGUAUAAAGUGGGAUUGCCAUCGCUCAACGGAUAAAAGCUACCCUGGGGAUAACAGGCUUAUCACUCCCAAGAGUUCACAUCGACGGAGUGGUUUGGCACCUCGAUGUCGGCUCAUCGCAUCCUGGGGCUGUAGCAGGUCCCAAGGGUUGGGCUGUUCGCCCAUUAAAGCGGUACGCGAGCUGGGUUCAGAACGUCGUGAGACAGUUCGGUCCCUAUCCGGCGCGGGCGGAGGAUAUUUGAGAGGAGCUGUCCUUAGUACGAGAGGACCGGGAUGGACGGACCACUGGUGUAUCUGUUGUCGACCAACGGCAUGGCAGAGUAGCCAAGUCUGGAAGGGAUAAACGCUGAAGGCAUCUAAGCGUGAAGCCCCCCUCAAGAUGAGAUAUCCCUCCUUCGGGAGUAAGACCCCUUGAAGACUACAAGGUAGAUAGGGCAGAGGUGGAAGCAUGGCAACAUGUGGAGCUGACUGUUACUAAUAGGUCGAGGGCUUAAUCUG
RNAcentral lists this ribosomal RNA (1344 nucleotides) under Agathobacter rectalis. RNAcentral describes it as "partial 23S ribosomal RNA". It matches the Rfam family "Bacterial large subunit ribosomal RNA", at positions 1562 to 2925 of the family's 2925-position model. Lineage: Bacteria; Bacillati; Bacillota; Clostridia; Lachnospirales; Lachnospiraceae. The record is from RNAcentral.